This 497-nucleotide ribosomal RNA is filed under the name uncultured bacterium. Its description in RNAcentral is "partial 16S ribosomal RNA". It matches the Rfam family "Bacterial small subunit ribosomal RNA", at positions 28 to 507 of the family's 1533-position model. The record is from RNAcentral.
GAUGAACGCUGGCGGCGUGCCUAAUACAUGCAAGUCGAGCGAACAGACGAGGAGCUUGCUCCUCUGACGUUAGCGGCGGACGGGUGAGUAACACGUGGAUAACCUACCUAUAAGACUGGGAUAACUUCGGGAAACCGGAGCUAAUACCGGAUAAUAUAUUGAACCGCAUGGUUCAAUAGUGAAAGACGGUUUUGCUGUCACUUAUAGAUGGAUCCGCGCCGCAUUAGCUAGUUGGUAAGGUAACGGCUUACCAAGGCGACGAUGCGUAGCCGACCUGAGAGGGUGAUCGGCCACACUGGAACUGAGCCACGGUCCAGACUCCUACGGGAGGCAGCAGUAGGGAAUCUUCCGCAAUGGGCGAAAGCCUGACGGAGCAACGCCGCGCGAGUGAUGAAGGUCUUCGGAUCGUAAAACUCUGUUAUUAGGGAAGAACAAAUGUGUAAGUAACUAUGCACGUCUUGACGGUACCUAAUCAGAAAGCCACGGCUAACUACGUG